GAUGAACGCUGGCGGCGUGCCUAAUACAUGCAAGUCGAGCGAACAGACGAGGAGCUUGCUCCUCUGACGUUAGCGGCGGACGGGUGAGUAACACGUGGAUAACCUACCUAUAAGACUGGGAUAACUUCGGGAAACCGGAGCUAAUACCGGAUAAUAUAUUGAACCGCAUGGUUCAAUAGUGAAAGACGGUUUUGCUGUCACUUAUAGAUGGAUCCGCGCCGCAUUAGCUAGUUGGUAAGGUAACGGCUUACCAAGGCAACGAUGCGUAGCCGACCUGAGAGGGGGACCGGCCAAACUGGAACUGAGACCCGGCCCAGACCCCCACGGGGGGCAGCAGUAGGGAAUCUUCCGCAAUGGGCGAAAGCCUGACGGAGCAACGCGGCGUGAGUGAUGAAGGUCUUCGGAUCGGAAAACUCUUUUUUUAGGGAAGAAAAAAUGUGUAAGUAACUAUGCACGUCUUGACGGUACCUAAUCAGAAAGCCCCGGCUAACUACGU
RNAcentral lists this ribosomal RNA (496 nucleotides) under uncultured bacterium. Its description in RNAcentral is "partial 16S ribosomal RNA". It matches the Rfam family "Bacterial small subunit ribosomal RNA", at positions 28 to 506 of the family's 1533-position model. The record is from RNAcentral.